GGCCGCAUCCGGAAACGGUAGGUAAGCCCCCUCCUAAGGGGAAGGUCGCCCGUUCGAAUCGGGCCGGGGUCACCA
This 75-nucleotide transfer RNA is filed under the name Luteibacter sp. Its description in RNAcentral is "tRNA-OTHER". Lineage: Bacteria; Pseudomonadati; Pseudomonadota; Gammaproteobacteria; Lysobacterales; Rhodanobacteraceae. The record is from RNAcentral.